GAUGAACGCUGGCGGCGUGCCUAAUACAUGCAAGUCGAGCGAACAGACGAGGAGCUUGCUCCUCUGACGUUAGCGGCGGACGGGUGAGUAACACGUGUAUAACCUACCUAUCAUACUGGGAUAACUUCGGGAAACCGGAGCUAAUACCGGAUAAUAUCUUGAACCGCAUGGUUCAAUAGUGAAAUACGGUUUUGCUGUCACUUAUCGAUGGAUCCGCGCCGCAUUAGCUAGUUGGUAAGGUAACGGCUUACCAAGGCAACGAUGCGUAGCCGACCUGAGAGGGGGAUCGGCAACACUGGAACUGAGACACGGUCCAGACUCCUACGGGAGGCAGCAGUAGGGAAUCUUCCGCAAUGGGCGAAAGCCUGACGGAGCAACGCCGCGUGAGUGAUGAAGGUCUUCGGAUCGUAAAACUCUGUUAUUAGGGAAGAACAAAUGUGUAAGUAACUAUGCACGUCUUGACGGUACCUAAUCAGAAAGCCACGGCUAACUACGUG
RNAcentral lists this ribosomal RNA (497 nucleotides) under uncultured bacterium. RNAcentral's name for it is "partial 16S ribosomal RNA". It matches the Rfam family "Bacterial small subunit ribosomal RNA", at positions 28 to 507 of the family's 1533-position model. The record is from RNAcentral.